AGAAAAAUAGCAUAAUUUAAUGCAAAUUACUUACACUAAUUAUAUGAUCAAAAGAUCUUUUUCUA
RNAcentral lists this transfer RNA (65 nucleotides) under Enchytraeus irregularis. RNAcentral's name for it is "tRNA-Val". The record is from RNAcentral. Lineage: Eukaryota; Metazoa; Annelida; Clitellata; Enchytraeida; Enchytraeidae.